GAGAGGUUGGGAAAAACUUAUCCAAAAAUGCCCGUUUCAUACUCUCCCAUGAUGUGACAGUUCCGGGGGCUAGCUCAUACAACCAAUCUUUAGCCUUUUCUAAGAGAGAAAAGGGAAAAACCUUCAUUUUCAGAAUGCUCCCAUCAACGUUCACAAGGGUCAUGCUCGAGCAAACAACCUUAAACUCCUUCAAGUGUUUAUUAGGAUCUUCCAAGGACAUCCCGUGGAACUUAGGAAUGUGAUGCAACAAACUUGAUUUCAAUUCGAACUCGUCCGUCUUCCCUAGGGCAGCCAUGGGUAUUGGAUGCAUAGGGGAGCAUCAUUGUCCAAUCCCGAAGCGGAAAGCUCAUUGAUUGUUCGAUUGUCCACUGCCAUGUUGGGAUCUUCCUCUACAACCUGUGCCGUGGGCUCCUCUUGCUCUUCUACUUUGUCUUUUCCAAGAUCUGGUGCAGGUUGAGAUGGUUGGGAUUCUUUUUUAUUCCUUGCUUGUCUCAAAGUUCGUUCAAAAUCGUCGUCAAAGUUACGGAUGUGCUUAUGAAUAGGUUGAGAACUUCGAGUCAUAAACCACCUAAAACAAGAAAACAAGUAAAGUCAUCAACUAGGACAAAACACAUGAAAAAAAACAAAAAGAAAUAACAAGGGAUUAGCAAAAUUGCUAAUCCCCGGCAACGGCGCCAAAAAUUUGAUGCAAAAAUUAACUUAACACACAAAUUAAACCCUCUUGUAUCAAUUGUAGUAAAGAAUGUAAGUAGGGAUCGUUCUGGACCGGGGAUUAGGAGGGCUUGCUAAUAACCUCUAAACUAACUUAAAAACAUAAAAUUAAGUUUAAAACACCAAACUAGACUCAAAAGAUUCAAUACAAACUAAAAAGACUCAAAACUAGUUUAAAAGACUCAAAACAACUUAAAACAAUGAAUUAGACUCUAAACUGACUCUAGGGAUGGUUUUGGAUGAAAUUAGGUUCUAACUUGACUCAAGACACUUAAAAACACAAAUCAAAACAGAUUUUGACUAAUAAAACACUUUAAAGUAAAGGGGGAUUUGAUUUUGACGAAUUUGAAAACAAAACAAACAGAUUGUAAACUAAAACAGAUUUUGGACGAAUUUGGGUAAACUAUGGAUGAUGGGCUAGCUAGAGGGUUCUUCUCCACACAUGACACACUUGCACAUAAACCAAUUUUCAGUUGUUCUUUCGAUAAAUCAUGCAACUCAACACCCUAGGUUAAUUAAGUCCGCUUAAAUUAACCUUCAAGUUCUCCUUAAGUUAUUGAAUUGGAUGGGAAAACGCAUACAACAAUUCAAGCAUUCUUCAAAAGUCCUUUUCAUGAACAGCACAAUAAAGAUACAAUCAAAGAUCAUUAAGCAUUAUGAAAACUAUAAGUAUUGACGAGGCAUUCGUUACUAUGAUGAGCAUGAAACUCCUGCCAAGAAUUCAUUUAACACGAUCGUUUAUAAGCGACCUCCACUACUUGUGAAUAUAAGUUUGAAACUAUUAGGUGAAACUCCCUUAUACUUUAGCAUCAUAUUCAUGCAUGCAAACUAAGUGUGCACUCUUAAUAAACAUACACGAAUAAGUUAUCAAACAAGCAGUUAAACAAAUUGAAUUCACAACUUAUGAAAUCACAACUGAAGGUAAUCAAUUCAUAUUGCAAAUAUGUUCAUGGCUUUGAAUUCCCCCUAGCUAAGGGGGGUUUAGCUACUCAUAAUUGCAACAAAAUCAGAA
Molecule: long non-coding RNA, 1723 nt
Filed under: Malus domestica (apple)
Lineage: Eukaryota; Viridiplantae; Streptophyta; Magnoliopsida; Rosales; Rosaceae
Description: long non-coding RNA (MDOM_LNC019720)
Source: RNAcentral